GACUGGUUCAAGUGCAGCAGUGUUUAUAACUAAUCAAUCACAACCAGUUACAGAUAACUUUGUUCCUUCUCCACUCCCACUGCUUCACUUGACUAGCCUUAA
RNAcentral lists this Y RNA (102 nucleotides) under Propithecus coquereli (Coquerel's sifaka). RNAcentral's name for it is "Y RNA (ENSPCOG00000009966.1)". It matches the Rfam family "Y RNA". From Rfam's summary of the family: Y RNAs are components of the Ro ribonucleoprotein particle (Ro RNP), in association with Ro60 and La proteins. The Y RNAs and Ro60 and La proteins are well conserved, but the function of the Ro RNP is not known. In humans the RNA component can be one of four small RNAs -- hY1, hY3, hY4 and hY5. Lineage: Eukaryota; Metazoa; Chordata; Mammalia; Primates; Indriidae. The record is from Rfam by way of RNAcentral.